Molecule: long non-coding RNA, 1017 nt
Organism: Ailuropoda melanoleuca (giant panda)
Lineage: Eukaryota; Metazoa; Chordata; Mammalia; Carnivora; Ursidae
Exons: 3
Source: RefSeq, a predicted model, not a curated record
UCAUCAUGCGCUGGUCCACUACAGAGAUACUCUUCAAUGCAAGGUUUUGCAUCAGCUGCUUGGGCUACAGAAAUGGAUAAAACCUAGCACUGGUUCUUGAAGAGCUUGUAGGCUCCUGGGGAAGGCUGUGAUUUCAGUCUCUUUCAGAAAAUACCCUUACUCCAUUUAUAUUGUGAAGGAUUGACCCCGACCCAGUCCAUUGGGGCUGCCAUUAACAUUUGCAACCUGAGGCCAAUGCUGGCACAGGAAGCAGAUCUGAGAAAUAAGAAGAAAUGAGCCCCUAAGCAGGUGGCCCACGGCUUCACAAUGUUCUCUUGAAGAUCAUCACUGUUGCAAGUUAAAUCCUUUUGAAGAAUUAAAAGAAAUGCACCGUUCAGAUCAAAAUUUGGUAGCACAAUAUGAAAGUCAUAUGGUAGACCAUUGUGCCGUAGUAGACUGGUAAAACAUCACAGUCUAUAAAGGUCAGAAGACCUGGCAAAGUUCACAAGUCAGAGAGAGGAGAAUCUGGCCAUGAAUUCAUAAUUAAUGACUCAUUGCCUCUUUCAUUUAAAUGAAAUUACCUACAUAGAGGAGCUAAUUCCACAAGCCACACUGCCUUUCUCUUUUCAGUGAGUGAAAAAACAAUCUAGUGGUUAGAUAAACAGAUUCUAGACCCAAACUUGAAAGAACAUCAUUUCCUUCUGUCUCUUAUCUAAAGAUGAAUCAUUGCAUGACCCCUUUCCGAAGUUUAAGAGCCAUUUUAUAGAAAUGGUACAUGAUUAAGCGCCUGGAACUCAACUCACUAGAAAAACCUUUUUACCCUUCUGUUUGGUGGAACGGAAGUAGCACUAGCUAGAAAUAGCUCACACGUUCUGUUUAUUUCAUCUGUAUGAAACCCGUUGUAUUGUUUGUUGUUUCUUGCUCUCUCAUCUAAUAUAUUUGAGUAAAGGGCAGUUUUUUAAAACUUCAUUUGCGUGACACCUGGUUGGCUCAGUCAGCUAAAUGUCUGCCUUAGCUCAGGUCAUGAUCCCAGGGUCC